CCCACAGGCCGUAAACCCAAGGUUUCCAGGGGAAGGUUCGUCCGCCCUGGGUUAGUCGGGACCUAAGCUGAGGCCGAAAGGCGUAGGUGAUGGACAACAGGUUGAUAUUCCUGUACUACCGAUAACCGGUUGAGAGAAGGGAUGACACAGUAGGAUAAGCUAAGCACACUGUUGGUUAUGUGUGCCCAAGCAUUGAGGCAGUCAAAGUAGGCAAAUCCGCUUUGAUAAUGCUGGGAUG
This 238-nucleotide ribosomal RNA is filed under the name Clostridioides difficile. Its description in RNAcentral is "partial 23S ribosomal RNA". It matches the Rfam family "Bacterial large subunit ribosomal RNA", at positions 1329 to 1563 of the family's 2925-position model. The record is from RNAcentral. Lineage: Bacteria; Bacillati; Bacillota; Clostridia; Peptostreptococcales; Peptostreptococcaceae.